CAGAGUUGCAAGACUCCCUAAACCAUUGUGAACCUACCUUCUACCGUUGCUUCGGCGGGCGGGCCCAGCGCCCCCCCGGCCCCCCGCGGGCGCCCGCCGGAGGAUACCCAAACUCUUUGACAUUAGUGGCCUCUCUGAGUAUUCUUUACUGAAUAAGUC
Molecule: unclassified non-coding RNA, 159 nt
Filed under: soil metagenome
Description: partial internal transcribed spacer 1
Source: RNAcentral